UGGGGAAUAUUGCACAAUUGGCGCAAGCCUGAUGCAGCCAUGCCGCGUGUGUGAAGAAGGCCUUCGGGUUGUAAAGCACUUUCAGCGGGGAGGAAGGCGAUAAGGUUAAUAACCUUGUCGAUUGACGUUACCCGCAGAAGAAGCACCGGCUAACUCCGUGCCAGCAGCCGCGGUAAUACGGAGGGUGCAAGCGUUAAUCGGAAUUACUGGGCGUAAAGCGCACGCAGGCGGUCUGUCAAGUCGGAUGUGAAAUCCCCGGGCUCAACCUGGGAACUGCAUUCGAAACUGGCAGGCUAGAGUCUUGUAGAGGGGGGUAGAAUUCCAGGUGUAGCGGUGAAAUGCGUAGAGAUCUGGAGGAAUACCGGUGGCGAAGGCGGCCCCCUGGACAAAGACUGACGCUCAGGUGCGAAAGCGUGGGGAGCAAACAGG
This 429-nucleotide ribosomal RNA is filed under the name Chloroflexota bacterium. RNAcentral describes it as "Chloroflexi bacterium partial 16S ribosomal RNA". It matches the Rfam family "Bacterial small subunit ribosomal RNA", at positions 355 to 776 of the family's 1533-position model. The record is from RNAcentral. Lineage: Bacteria; Bacillati; Chloroflexota.